RNAcentral lists this long non-coding RNA (348 nucleotides) under Ficedula albicollis (Collared flycatcher). Its description in RNAcentral is "lncRNA (ENSFALG00000026883.1)". Lineage: Eukaryota; Metazoa; Chordata; Aves; Passeriformes; Muscicapidae. The record is from RNAcentral.
AGGAACUGGGAGAGCCUUUGCCCCAUCUUGCCCCUUGAGCUGUAAAUGAUUACUUGUAAAUGAGCUGCUUGGGAGGACAAAAGGGCAACUGACUUACUGACCCACUCAAACAGAGUUAGCAAACACUUGCCUCCUGGGCCAUGCAUGGAGUCGUGAUUGCCCUGAGAAAAUGGACCAAUCCUGCUUGUCUGAAGACAAGCAUGUUUGAGGUCAUAGAAUGUAAACUGAAGUUAAUAAAUUGGGGAAUUUGGUCUCAUGGACAAUGUUACCUAUAUCAUACGUCACCUGAGCAUCAGGGAAGUGAUGCUCUGCAGCACCCAGAAGAAAGAAAAGAAAUUCCUCUUUUCC